GACGAACGCUGGCGGCGUGCUUAACACAUGCAAGUCGAACGGAAAGGCCCUGCUUUUGUGGGGUGCUCGAGUGGCGAACGGGUGAGUAACACGUGAGUAACCUGCCCUUGACAUUGGGAUAACUUCAGGAAACUGGGGCUAAUACCGGAUAGGAGCUCCUGCUGCAUGGUGGGGGUUGGAAAGAUUCGGCGGUUGGGGAUGGACUCGCGGCUUAUCAGCUUGUUGGUGGGGUAGUGGCUUACCAAGGCUUUGACGGGUAGCCGGCCUGAGAGGGUGACCGGCCACAAUGGGACUGAGGUACCGCCCAGACGCCUACGGGGGGCAGCAGUGGGGGAUAUUGCACAAUGGGCGGAGGCCUGAUGCAGCAACGCCGCGUGCGGGAUGACGGCCUGCGGGUUGGAAACCUGGUGCGCCUGUGACGAAGAGUGAGUGACGGUAAUGAGUAAAGAAGCAACGGCUAACUACGUG
RNAcentral lists this ribosomal RNA (468 nucleotides) under uncultured bacterium. RNAcentral describes it as "partial 16S ribosomal RNA". It matches the Rfam family "Bacterial small subunit ribosomal RNA", at positions 28 to 507 of the family's 1533-position model. The record is from RNAcentral.